RNAcentral lists this ribosomal RNA (1160 nucleotides) under Bacillus licheniformis. RNAcentral's name for it is "bacterial SSU rRNA". It matches the Rfam family "Bacterial small subunit ribosomal RNA", at positions 144 to 1289 of the family's 1533-position model. The record is from RNAcentral. Lineage: Bacteria; Bacillati; Bacillota; Bacilli; Caryophanales; Bacillaceae.
UAACUCCGGGAAACCGGGGCUAAUACCGGAUGCUUGAUUGAACCGCAUGGUUCAAUUAUAAAAGGUGGCUUUUAGCUACCACUUACAGAUGGACCCGCGGCGCAUUAGCUAGUUGGUGAGGUAACGGCUCACCAAGGCAACGAUGCGUAGCCGACCUGAGAGGGUGAUCGGCCACACUGGGACUGAGACACGGCCCAGACUCCUACGGGAGGCAGCAGUAGGGAAUCUUCCGCAAUGGACGAAAGUCUGACGGAGCAACGCCGCGUGAGUGAUGAAGGUUUUCGGAUCGUAAAACUCUGUUGUUAGGGAAGAACAAGUACCGUUCGAAUAGGGCGGUACCUUGACGGUACCUAACCAGAAAGCCACGGCUAACUACGUGCCAGCAGCCGCGGUAAUACGUAGGUGGCAAGCGUUGUCCGGAAUUAUUGGGCGUAAAGCGCGCGCAGGCGGUUUCUUAAGUCUGAUGUGAAAGCCCCCGGCUCAACCGGGGAGGGUCAUUGGAAACUGGGGAACUUGAGUGCAGAAGAGGAGAGUGGAAUUCCACGUGUAGCGGUGAAAUGCGUAGAGAUGUGGAGGAACACCAGUGGCGAAGGCGACUCUCUGGUCUGUAACUGACGCUGAGGCGCGAAAGCGUGGGGAGCGAACAGGAUUAGAUACCCUGGUAGUCCACGCCGUAAACGAUGAGUGCUAAGUGUUAGAGGGUUUCCGCCCUUUAGUGCUGCAGCAAACGCAUUAAGCACUCCGCCUGGGGAGUACGGUCGCAAGACUGAAACUCAAAGGAAUUGACGGGGGCCCGCACAAGCGGUGGAGCAUGUGGUUUAAUUCGAAGCAACGCGAAGAACCUUACCAGGUCUUGACAUCCUCUGACAACCCUAGAGAUAGGGCUUCCCCUUCGGGGGCAGAGUGACAGGUGGUGCAUGGUUGUCGUCAGCUCGUGUCGUGAGAUGUUGGGUUAAGUCCCGCAACGAGCGCAACCCUUGAUCUUAGUUGCCAGCAUUCAGUUGGGCACUCUAAGGUGACUGCCGGUGACAAACCGGAGGAAGGUGGGGAUGACGUCAAAUCAUCAUGCCCCUUAUGACCUGGGCUACACACGUGCUACAAUGGGCAGAACAAAGGGCAGCGAAGCCGCGAGGCUAAGCCAAUCCCACAAAUCUGUUCUC